This 497-nucleotide ribosomal RNA is filed under the name uncultured bacterium. RNAcentral describes it as "partial 16S ribosomal RNA". It matches the Rfam family "Bacterial small subunit ribosomal RNA", at positions 28 to 507 of the family's 1533-position model. The record is from RNAcentral.
GAUGAACGCUGGCGGCGUGCCUAAUACAUGCAAGUCGAGCGAACAGAUGCUGAGCUUGCUCCUCUGACGUUAGCCGCGGACGGGUGAGUAACACGUGGAUCACCUACCUAUCAGUCUGGGAUAACUUCGGGACACCGGAGAUAAUACCGGAUAAUAUAUUGAUCCGCAUGGUUCAAUAGUAAAAGACGGUUUUGCUGUCACUAAUAGAUGGAUCCGCGCCGCAUUAGCUAGUUGGUAAGGUAACGGCUUACCAAGGCAACGAUGCGUAGCCGACGUGAGUGGGGGAUCGGCCACACUGGAACUGAGACACGGUCCAGACUCCUGCGGGAGGCAGCAGUAGCGAAUCUUCCGCAGUGGGCGAGAGCCUUGCGGAGCGACGCCGCGUGAGUGAUGAAGGUCCUCGGAUCGUAAAGCUCUGUUAUUAGGGAAGAACAAAUGUGGAAGUAACUAUGCACUUCUUGACGGUACCUAAUCAGAAAGCCACGGCUAACUACGUG